This 646-nucleotide ribosomal RNA is filed under the name Salmonella enterica subsp. enterica serovar Onderstepoort. RNAcentral describes it as "partial 23S ribosomal RNA". It matches the Rfam family "Bacterial large subunit ribosomal RNA", at positions 711 to 1269 of the family's 2925-position model. Lineage: Bacteria; Pseudomonadati; Pseudomonadota; Gammaproteobacteria; Enterobacterales; Enterobacteriaceae. The record is from RNAcentral.
AGACCCGAAACCCGGUGAUCUAGCCAUGGGCAGGUUGAAGGUUGGGUAACACUAACUGGAGGACCGAACCGACUAAUGUUGAAAAAUUAGCGGAUGACCUGUGGCUGGGGGUGAAAGGCCAAUCAAACCGGGAGAUAGCUGGUUCUCCCCGAAAGCUAUUUAGGUAGCGCCUCGUGAAUUCAUCUCCGGGGGUAGAGCACUGUUUCGGCUAGGGGGCCAUCCCGGCUUACCAACCCGAUGCAAACUGCGAAUACCGGAGAAUGUUAUCACGGGAGACACACGGCGGGUGCUAACGUCCGUCGUGAAGAGGGAAACAACCCAGACCGCCAGCUAAGGUCCCAAAGUCAUGGUUAAGUGGGAAACGAUGUGGGAAGGCCCAGACAGCCAGGAUGUUGGCUUAGAAGCAGCCAUCAUUUAAAGAAAGCGUAAUAGCUCACUGGUCGAGUCGGCCUGCGCGGAAGAUGUAACGGGGCUAAACCAUGCACCGAAGCUGCGGCAGCGAACGUAUCACCCAAGACAACUUUGCACAGUUGACGAUUGGCGGAGCGAAGCGACGUCAAAGCGUUUUACAACGUCGAGUUGGCUUAGGGAUACGUUCGUUGGGUAGGGGAGCGUUCUGUAAGCCUGUGAAGGUGGCCUGUGAGGG